This 68-nucleotide transfer RNA is filed under the name Cheumatopsyche campyla. RNAcentral describes it as "tRNA-Cys". Lineage: Eukaryota; Metazoa; Arthropoda; Insecta; Trichoptera; Hydropsychidae. The record is from RNAcentral.
AAAGUUUUAUAGUCUAAGAAAGAUUUAAAAUUGCAAAUUUUAAGUUAUAAGGUUAAUUAUUAAGACUU